GGGGAAUAUUGCACAAUGGGGGAAACCCUGAUGCAGCGACGCCGCGUGAGCGAAGAAGUAUUUCGGUAUGUAAAGCUCUAUCAGCAGGGAAGAUAAUGACGGUACCUGACUAAGAAGCCCCGGCUAACUACGUGCCAGCAGCCGCGGUAAUACGUAGGGGGCAAGCGUUAUCCGGAUUUACUGGGUGUAAAGGGAGCGUAGACGGCAAGGCAAGUCUGAUGUGAAAACCCAGGGCUUAACCCUGGGACUGCAUUGGAAACUGUCUGGCUCGAGUGCCGGAGAGGUAAGCGGAAUUCCUAGUGUAGCGGUGAAAUGCGUAGAUAUACGGAGGAACACCAGUGGCGAAGGCGGCCUGCUGGACAUUAACUGACGCUGAGGCGCGAAAGCGUGGGGAGCAAACAGGAUUAGAUACCCUGGUAGUCCACGCUGUAAACGAUGGAUACUAGGUGUGGGGGGACUGACCCCUUCCGUGCCGCAGUUAACACAAUAAGUAUCCCACCUGGGGAGUACGAUCGCAAGGUUGAAACUCAAAGGAAUUGACGGGGGCCCGCACAAGCGGUGGAGUAUGUGGUUUAAUUCGAAGCAACGCGAAGAACCUUACCAGGGCUUGACAUCCCGAGGCCCGGUCUAGAGAUAGACCUUUCUCUUCGGAGACAUCGGUGACAGGUGGUGCAUGGUUGUCGUCAGCUCGUGUCGUGAGAUGUUGGGUUAAGUCCCGCAACGAGCGCAACCCUUAUCUUUAGUAGCCAGCAGUAAGAUGGGCACUCUAGAGAGACUGCCGGGGAUAACCCGGAGGAAGGUGGGGAUGACGUCAAAUCAUCAUGCCCCUUAUGACCAGGGCUACACACGUGCUACAAUGGCGUAAACAAAGAGAAGCGAAGUCGUGAGGCAGAGCGAAUCUCAAAAAUAACGUCUCAGUUCGGAUUGUAGUCUGCAACUCGACUACAUGAAGCUGGAAUCGCUAGUAAUCGCAGAUCAGAAUGCUGCGGUGAAUACGUUCCCG
Molecule: ribosomal RNA, 1003 nt
Filed under: uncultured bacterium
Lineage: Bacteria
Description: bacterial SSU rRNA
Rfam family: Bacterial small subunit ribosomal RNA
Source: RNAcentral